ACGUGUAGCAUAUGUGAAGAAAUAUGCAAUAAUUUUGAUGCAGUGCGCACAUAUCCCUGUACGGAAAGCUAUGAAAACAUGGUUGUAGACAACAACAAUUACUUUUAUCCUAGAUGUAGUAAUGGAGAAAUCGUCCGUCGGAGUGAAUAAAUGAAAUAGAGGCAAUAGUAGUAGACAGCCCACCGCUUCCUACAAAUAUUCAUUAGCUUCACAAACCUGUAUAGUCACUACAAAGCACUAAUGUAAAUGAAAUACUUAUCACUGAGGAAAAUAUUCAUCUGAAGAUACAAAAAGGAAAUGGAAGAACCUGCGAGAUCGAUUUAUGCGGAUAGUUGCAUCCAAGAAGCUGUCAAGUAGUGGUGCAGCAAGUAGCGGAACAAAAAAACAAUGGCGAUUUUAUCAAUCACUGCAGUUUCUGCGUGACACGUUUCUUCGAAAAGAGUAUAAGUCAAACAUGUCAACACCAGCAUUCUCGAAAAUGUAUUUUACAUACCAAAAUAAUUGUUAUUGCUAUUUCAAAACAGCGAGCAACAUGUCAGUUUCCGACGACAACAACAAUGAGAAGAUAAACAUCAAAGUGCUGAAUAAGGAUGCAGACAAGAUUAAUAGGAAGAAGAAAGCAAUGCAAACGUUCACACAGGACAAUAUAUUGAAACAAAUAAGCGAAAAAUUACGUCAGUUUACAUUGACGUUGCCAACUCCACUGAUAGCUGACGAAAUCCAUAAUUUUCUAAUGACGAUUAGCGCGCAGCUUCAUACAU
Acromyrmex echinatior (Panamanian leafcutter ant) is the source of this 761-nucleotide long non-coding RNA. The record is from RefSeq and is a predicted model, not a curated record. NCBI's taxonomy places the organism in Eukaryota, Metazoa, Arthropoda, Insecta, Hymenoptera, Formicidae.